Molecule: non-coding RNA, 133 nt
Organism: Brachypodium distachyon (stiff brome)
Lineage: Eukaryota; Viridiplantae; Streptophyta; Magnoliopsida; Poales; Poaceae
Source: Rfam
GAUAUACUCCCUCCAUCCAACAAAAGAUGUCUUAAGUUUCUCUCAAAAUUUGGAUGUAUUUAGACUUACUGUAUAGAUGUAUUCAAAUUUAGUCAAUGUUGAGACAUCUUUUGUUGGACGAAGGAAGUACACU